UUUUAUUUGAGAGUUUGAUCCUGGCUCAGGAUGAACGCUGGCGGCGUGCCUAACACAUGCAAGUUGAGCGAUUUACUUCGGUAAAGAGCGGCGGACGGGUGAGUAACGCGUGGGUAACCUACCCUGUACACACGGAUAACAUACCGAAAGGUAUGCUAAUACGGGAUAAUAUAUUUGAGAGGCAUCUCUUGAAUAUCAAAGGUGAGCCAGUACAGGAUGGACCCGCGUCUGAUUAGCUAGUUGGUAAGGUAACGGCUUACCAAGGCGACGAUCAGUAGCCGACCUGAGAGGGUGAUCGGCCACAUUGGAACUGAGACACGGUCCAAACUCCUACGGGAGGCAGCAGUGGGGAAUAUUGCACAAUGGGCGAAAGCCUGAUGCAGCAACGCCGCGUGAGUGAUGAAGGCCUUCGGGUCGUAAAACUCU
RNAcentral lists this ribosomal RNA (426 nucleotides) under Clostridioides difficile. RNAcentral describes it as "bacterial SSU rRNA". It matches the Rfam family "Bacterial small subunit ribosomal RNA", at positions 1 to 434 of the family's 1533-position model. Lineage: Bacteria; Bacillati; Bacillota; Clostridia; Peptostreptococcales; Peptostreptococcaceae. The record is from RNAcentral.